RNAcentral lists this long non-coding RNA (205 nucleotides) under Hordeum vulgare. Its description in RNAcentral is "long non-coding RNA (HVUL_LNC005339)". Lineage: Eukaryota; Viridiplantae; Streptophyta; Magnoliopsida; Poales; Poaceae. The record is from RNAcentral.
UCAAAUAAGAUUCAUAGAUAAUCUGAUCGUAAAUCCACAAUUCAUCGGAUCUCUACAAACACACCGCAAAAGAAGAUUACAUCGGAUAGAUCUCCAUGAAGAUCAUGGAGAACUUUGUAUUGAAUAUCCAAGAGAGAGAAGUUGCCAUCUAGCUACUAGCUAUGGACCCGUAGGUCUAUGGUGAACUACUCACGCAUCAUCGGAG